This 433-nucleotide ribosomal RNA is filed under the name uncultured bacterium. Its description in RNAcentral is "partial 16S ribosomal RNA". It matches the Rfam family "Bacterial small subunit ribosomal RNA", at positions 29 to 506 of the family's 1533-position model. The record is from RNAcentral.
AGCGAACGCUGGCGGCAGGCCUAACACAUGCAAGUCGAACGAACCUUUCGGGGUUAGUGGCGGACGGGUGAGUAACACGUGGGAACGUGCCUUUAGGUUCGGAAUAACUCAGGGAAACUUGUGCUAAUACCGAAUGUGCCCUUCGGGGGAAAGAUUUAUCGCCUUUAGAGCGGCCCGCGUCUGAUUAGCUAGUUGGUUGAGGUAAUGGCUCACCAAGGCGACGAUCAGUAGCUGGUCUGAGAGGAUGAUCAGCCACAUUGGGACUGAGACACGGCCCAAACUCCUACGGGAGGCAGCAGUGGGGGAUCUUGCGCAAUGGGCGAAAGCCUGACGCAGCCAUGCCGCGUGAAUGAUGAAGGUCUUAGGAUUGUAAAAUUCUUUCACCGGGGACGAUAAUGACGGUACCCGGAGAAGAAGCCCCGGCUAACUUCGU